Suricata suricatta (meerkat) is the source of this 380-nucleotide long non-coding RNA. RefSeq lists it as uncharacterized. Lineage: Eukaryota; Metazoa; Chordata; Mammalia; Carnivora; Herpestidae. The transcript has 4 exons. The record is from RefSeq and is a predicted model, not a curated record.
CAGGAUUUUACUGGGGACUGACCAUGGAGGCAGCUUCUGCCAGGCAUGUACCAAAAUUCCAGACUCCCAGAAAGAAAGCAGAUGGAGAUAUGUACUGUAGAAGAAUAUCGGGAAAGAGGGAUAGAAGUUUCCACAGCUUUAUGUAGGAUUAUCAAAGAAGACCUUAUUGGGAAGGGGACAUUCGAGCUAAAGCAGGAUGUGGAUUUGAAGAUUGUAUUAUCUGCAUUUGCCUUCUCAAAAUGAUAGGAUUGUCUGAAAGGAUCCAUACAAAGAAAAUGUGUGUGAAAUUGCCAUAGCCACCUCAGCCUUCAGCUACCACCACCCAAGAUCUUUCAGCAGCCAUCAGAAUCGAAGCAAGAGCCUCCAUCAGAAUAAAGGAU